This 479-nucleotide ribosomal RNA is filed under the name uncultured bacterium. RNAcentral's name for it is "partial 16S ribosomal RNA". It matches the Rfam family "Bacterial small subunit ribosomal RNA", at positions 28 to 507 of the family's 1533-position model. The record is from RNAcentral.
GACGAACGCUGGCGGCGUGCCUAAUACAUGCAAGUCGAACGCAGAGUUCAUACAUUAGCGUGCUACACCAUGGACUGUGAGGUACGAACGGGUGAGGAACGGGAUGAUAACCGGAAUGGUAGCGGAAGAUAACAAUAGGAAACGAUAGCUAAUACCUCAUAAUAAUAAUUAUUGCAGGAUAGUUAAUGGCAAGUUGCAAAUUCACCACUCACAAAGGGACCUGCGCUGAAUUAGCUAGUAGGUGAGGUAACGGCUCACCAAGGCGACGAUACCUAGCUGGGCUGAGAAGAUGAUCCGGCACACUGGGAGUGAGACACGUACCAGACUCCCACGGGAGGCCGCAGGGGGGAAUAUUGGACAAUGGGCGAAAGAAUGAUGCAGCAAGGUCGCGUGAGUCAUUUAGGCCUUAGGGUUGGAAAGCUCUUUUAACCGGGAAGAUUAUGACGGUACCGGGAGAAUAAGCCCCGGCUAACUCCGUG